CAACUCCUACGGGGAGGCAGCAGUGAGGAAUAUUGGUCAAUGGGCGGUAGCCUGAACCAGCCAAGUAGCGUGAAGGAUGAAGGCUCCUAUGGGUCCGUAAACUUCCUUUUAUAUAAGAAUAAAGUGCAGUAUGUAUACUGUUUUGUAUGUAUUAUAUGAAUAAGGAUCGGCUAACUCCGUGCCAGCACCCGCGGUAA
This 197-nucleotide ribosomal RNA is filed under the name uncultured Bacteroides sp. Its description in RNAcentral is "partial 16S ribosomal RNA". It matches the Rfam family "Bacterial small subunit ribosomal RNA", at positions 333 to 523 of the family's 1533-position model. Lineage: Bacteria; Pseudomonadati; Bacteroidota; Bacteroidia; Bacteroidales; Bacteroidaceae. The record is from RNAcentral.